This 998-nucleotide ribosomal RNA is filed under the name uncultured bacterium. RNAcentral describes it as "bacterial SSU rRNA". It matches the Rfam family "Bacterial small subunit ribosomal RNA", at positions 505 to 1501 of the family's 1533-position model. The record is from RNAcentral.
GUGCCAGCCGCCGCGGUAAUACGUAGGGUGCGAGCGUUAAUCGGAAUUACUGGGCGUAAAGCGUGCGCAGGCGGUUUUGUAAGUCAGAUGUGAAAUCCCCGAGCUCAACUUGGGAACUGCGUUUGAAACUACAAGACUAGAAUAGGUCAGAGGGGGGUAGAAUUCCACGUGUAGCAGUGAAAUGCGUAGAGAUGUGGAGGAAUAUCAAUGGCGAAGGCAGCCCCCUGGGAUCAUAUUGACGCUCAUGCACGAAAGCGAGGGGAGCAAACAGGAUUAGAUACCCUGGUAGUCCACGCCCUAAACGAUGUCAACUAGUUGUUGGUAGAGUAAAAUCUAUGAGUAACGCAGCUAACGCGUGAAGUUGACCGCCUGGGGAGUACGAUCGCAAGAUUAAAACUCAAAUGAAUUGACGGGGGCCCGCACAAGCGGUGGAUUAUGUGGAUUAAUUCGAUGCAACGCGAAAAACCUUACCUGGCCUUGACAUGUACGGAACUUUCCAGAGAUGGAUUGGUGCUCGAAAGAGAACCGUAACACAGGUGCUGCAUGGCUGUCGUCAGCUCGUGUCGUGAGAUGUUGGGUUAAGUCCCGCAACGAGCGCAACCCUUGCCAAUAAUUGCCAUCAUUUAGUUGGGCACUUUAUUGGGACUGCCGAUGACAAAUCGGAGGAAGGUGGGGAUGACGUCAAGUCCUCAUGGCCCUUAUGGCCAGGGCUUCACACGUAAUACAAUGGUCGGUACAGAGGGUUGCCAAGCCGCAAGGUGGAGCCAAUCCCAGAAAGCCGAUCGUAGUCCGGAUUGAGGUCUGCAACUCGACCUCAUGAAGUCGGAAUCGCUAGUAAUCGCGGAUCAGCAUGUCGCGGUGAAUACGUUCCCGGGCCUUGUACACACCGCCCGUCACACCAUGGGAGUGGGUUUUACCAGAAGUAGGUAGUCUAACCGCAAGGGGGACGCUUACCACGGUAGUAUUCAUGACUGGGGUGAAGUCGUAACAAGGUAACC